This 73-nucleotide transfer RNA is filed under the name Biomphalaria glabrata. It matches the Rfam family "tRNA". From Rfam's summary of the family: Transfer RNA (tRNA) molecules are approximately 80 nucleotides in length. Their secondary structure includes four short double-helical elements and three loops (D, anti-codon, and T loops). RNAcentral also lists the same sequence under 4 other names. Lineage: Eukaryota; Metazoa; Mollusca; Gastropoda; Planorbidae. The record is from Rfam by way of RNAcentral.
GUCCCUGUAGCGCAGUGGAUAGCGCGCUGGACUUCUAAUCCAGAGGUCGCGGGUUCGAAUCCCGCCAGGGAUG